UACGUAGGGUGCGAGCGUUAAUCGGAAUUACUGGGCGUAAAGCGUGCGCAGGCGGCGCGUUAAGACAGGUGUGAAAGCCCCGAGCUUAACUUGGGAAUUGCGCUUGUGACUGGCGUGCUGGAGUGUGGCAGAGGGAGGUGGAAUUCCACGUGUAGCAGUGAAAUGCGUAGAGAUGUGGAGGAACACCGAUGGCGAAGGCAGCCCCCUGGGCUAGCACUGACGCUCAGGCACGAAAGCGUGGGGAGCAAACAGG
RNAcentral lists this ribosomal RNA (253 nucleotides) under uncultured bacterium. Its description in RNAcentral is "partial 16S ribosomal RNA". It matches the Rfam family "Bacterial small subunit ribosomal RNA", at positions 524 to 776 of the family's 1533-position model. The record is from RNAcentral.